CGUAUUCACUACUGUAAGUCUCUCUGGAUAAGAGCGUCUGCUAAAUGACUAAAA
Molecule: non-coding RNA, 54 nt
Organism: Salmo salar (Atlantic salmon)
Lineage: Eukaryota; Metazoa; Chordata; Actinopteri; Salmoniformes; Salmonidae
Source: Rfam